GGCGGCAUAGCUUAGUUGGCUAGAGCGUCCGGUUCAUACCCGGAAGGUCGUAGGUUCAAGUCCCACUGCCGCUACCA
RNAcentral lists this transfer RNA (77 nucleotides) under Ruminococcus sp. RNAcentral's name for it is "tRNA-Met". It matches the Rfam family "tRNA". From Rfam's summary of the family: Transfer RNA (tRNA) molecules are approximately 80 nucleotides in length. Their secondary structure includes four short double-helical elements and three loops (D, anti-codon, and T loops). Further hydrogen bonds mediate the characteristic L-shaped molecular structure. tRNAs have two regions of fundamental functional importance: the anti-codon, which is responsible for specific mRNA codon recognition, and the 3' end, to which the tRNAs corresponding amino acid is attached (by aminoacyl-tRNA synthetases). tRNAs cope with the degeneracy of the genetic code in two manners: having more than one tRNA (with a specific anti-codon) for a particular amino acid; and 'wobble' base-pairing, i.e. permitting non-standard base-pairing at the 3rd anti-codon position. Lineage: Bacteria; Bacillati; Bacillota; Clostridia; Eubacteriales; Oscillospiraceae. RNAcentral also lists the same sequence under 7 other names. The record is from RNAcentral.